Molecule: ribosomal RNA, 885 nt
Filed under: uncultured bacterium
Lineage: Bacteria
Description: bacterial SSU rRNA
Rfam family: Bacterial small subunit ribosomal RNA
Source: RNAcentral
AUUGAACGCUGGCGGCAUGCCUAACACAUGCAAGUCGAACGGUAACAGCGGAAGCUUGCUUCCGGCUGACGAGUGGCGGACGGGUGAGUAAUGCAUAGGAAUCUGCCCAGUAGUGGGGGACAACCUGGUGAAAACCAGGCUAAUACCGCAUACGCCCUACGGGGGAAAGACUUCGGUCACUAUUGGAUGAGCCUAUGUCUGAUUAGCUUGUUGGUGGGGUAACGGCCUACCAAGGCGACGAUCAGUAGCUGGUUUGAGAGGACGAUCAGCCACACUGGGACUGAGACACGGCCCAGACUCCUACGGGAGGCAGCAGUGGGGAAUAUUGGACAAUGGGCGAAAGCCUGAUCCAGCAAUGCCGCGUGUGUGAAGAAGGCCUGCGGGUUGUAAAGCACUUUCAGUAGCGAGGAAAAGCCUAAGGUUAAUAACCUUGGGUCUUGACGUUAACUACAGAAGAAGCACCGGCUAACUCAGUGCCAGCAGCCGCGGUAAUACUGAGGGUGCAAGCGUUAAUCGGAAUUACUGGGCGUAAAGCGCUCGUAGGCGGUUUGAUAAGUCGGAUGUGAAAGCCCCGGGCUUAACCUGGGAACUGCAUUCGAAACUGUCAAGCUAGAGUAUGGUAGAGGUGAGGGGAAUUCCUGGUGUAGCGGUGAAAUGCGUAGAUAUCAGGAGGAACAUAGUGGCGAAGGCGCCUCACUGGACCAAUACUGACGCUGAGGAGCGAAAGCGUGGGGAGCAAACGGGAUUAGAUACCCCGGUAGUCCACGCCGUAAACGAUGUCAACUAGACGUUGGGCUCAUAAAAGAGCUUAGUGUCGCAGCUAACGCAUUAAGUUGACCGCCUGGGGAGUACGUUCGCAAGGAUGAAACUCAAAGUAAUUGACGG